GGGGGGGGGGGGGGGGGGGGGGGGGAGGGGGGGGGCGGGGGGGGGGGGGGGGGGGGCGGGGGGGUGGAGCGGGGGGCGGGGGGGGGAGGGCGAGGAGUGUGGCUGGUGGGGGGGGCUGGCGUCCGGGGACGGGCGCUAAUACCGCAUACGUGCUGCGGGAGAGCGUGUGGGGGGGUGGGGCCUCACACUGGGCGAUUGGCCGAGGUCGGCUUCACUCGUCGGUGGGGUAAAGGCCGACCCAGGCGCCGAUCCGUGACUGGCCUGAGAGGAUGAUCAUCCAAACUGGACCUGAGAAACGUUCCAGACUCCUACGGGAGGCAGCAGUGGGGAAUAUUGGCCAAUGGGCGAAAGCCUGAUCCAGCCAUGCCGCGUGUGUGAAGAAGGUCUUCGGAUUGUAAAGCACUUUAAGUUGGGAGGAAGGGCAGUAAGUUAAUACCUUGCUGUUUUGACGUUACCAACAGAAUAAGCACCGGCUAACUUCGUG
Molecule: ribosomal RNA, 484 nt
Filed under: uncultured bacterium
Lineage: Bacteria
Description: partial 16S ribosomal RNA
Rfam family: Bacterial small subunit ribosomal RNA (bases 56-484)
Source: RNAcentral